AACAAAACAAUCCUGCCAAGUACAAAACUAGCACUGAAAUCACAUUUGCCUAAUCAGAAUCAAAUUACCUACCCUAGCUGUAAUAGACAUGUUCAUAUAUUUGUAAAGCACUUUGUAACUGCAUAAGUGUUAUAAAAAUUAAGUUUAUUAUUAUUAUUUACUAAAUCAAUUUUGGUACAGAUUCCCAGAGCGCCACACAUCGGAUGCCAUAGCUGUCUGCAUGAAAUACUCCACAGCUGGAAACUGAAAGGGAAGGUGCAGUGUGCUGUCACUGAUAAUGGAGCUAACAUGGUGGCGGCCAUUAGAAAGCGAAAUAUAAGACACAUACCAUGUUUUGCACAUACUAUUAAUCUAAUAGUCAAGGACAGCCUAAGUGCAAUCCCAGAAUUGGAAGAAAUGAGACAGAAAGUAAGAAAAAUCGUAGGACAUUUCAAGAGGAGUUGCACUGCAAAGGAGAAGCUUGCAGCUUUGCAGCAGGACAUGAAACUGAAAGAGCGAAAACUAGUUCAAGAAGUUGAAACUAGAUGGAAUGCAACCUAUCUCAUGCUGGAGCGCUUUUUAGAAGUGAAGGAGCCCCUAUCAGCUGCACUGUCAUCCCUCAAAGGGUCAGCCCUCCCAGUAAUCUUCCAAAAUGACUGGAUUGACAUGGAGGAGACAACAAAGUUUCCUUGGUAUUGCAACUCUUCUCGACCCACGUUUCAAGAAACUGGCAUUUGGUAAUGAGAAUAAUGCAGGAGGAGGCCGUGAAAUCUUUCUCAGCUGAGUUCGCAGUGUUGGUGAGAGAGGGAGGUGCUCAGGCUAUGAAUGUAGGGGCAAGUGUUGUUGAGCCAGAAGAAGACGACAUCUGGAAAGAGUUUGAUGUACGGGUCUCGCAACAGAAUCCACACAAGGAUUUCACAACAGAGGUUAAGAUGUACUUUGCCCUCCCAAACCUUGACAGGAAAAUGUGUCCACUACAGUUUUGGCAAUCUGAAGGCCACAGAUUCCCCCACCUCCAGAAGCUGACCUUGAAAUACCUUUGUGUACCCGCAACAUCAGUCCCCAGCGAAAGGAUUUUCUCCAAAUCAGGAGAACUGAUCUCAGAAGGUCAAGACUCAAGCCCAAAAACGUCAGCAUGUCCCUCUUCCUGCAUUACAAUUGGUAGUGUGGUACCCAGCAUGACCCGAAGGUCCCUCCCCAAUAUGUGAAGAACGUUUUUUUUAUUUUUUACUAUUGUACCAUUGUAUUGUAUAGUAUUUAAGUUUUGUACCAUUUAGUAUUGAUUUUCAUUUAAAACAUUUGUUUUGUUU
Long non-coding RNA from Anguilla anguilla (European eel), 1289 nucleotides. RefSeq lists it as uncharacterized. The record is from RefSeq and is a predicted model, not a curated record. The transcript has 3 exons. Lineage: Eukaryota; Metazoa; Chordata; Actinopteri; Anguilliformes; Anguillidae.